RNAcentral lists this long non-coding RNA (792 nucleotides) under Coffea arabica (coffee). Its description in RNAcentral is "long non-coding RNA (CARA_LNC007238)". Lineage: Eukaryota; Viridiplantae; Streptophyta; Magnoliopsida; Gentianales; Rubiaceae. The record is from RNAcentral.
GAAGAGAAGGACUAUAUUGAACAUGGAGAUUUUCAAUUUCAAUUUUUCCAUGGAGCGGCCAUGCAGGUUGUGGUCUGCAAUCUUCAAUAACUAAGGGAGCUUCACUGGGAAUGUUAGUGAAUUGAAGAAUUCUCUCUACACAUAUCAUUUUGUUCUCAACAUUACAGAGGUUCCAUAUUACCCAAGCUUGGAGUACAUUUAAACUUAAACCAUAGGUGGCUGCGAGUCCUGCCAAACCUGUUACCGCCAGAGAUAAUUGGGAUUAGGAAUUGGUAUAAGAAACCAAAAGUCAAGGUCAGGUUUCAACAAUUUCCUCUACUCAUCGAAAGGGAAUCAUCCCGUCUUAAGGUAGAAUCAGGAAGAAAUAUUUUUAAGAAUACUAGAACAAAAGUGUGCCUGCAAAUUUGUCUUGGAUAAGUAAUUUCCCUCUCGUAGUUGUUUAAUCUAAAUGGUUUUAUAUUUAUCAGCCAACUAGAAGCAAAUUAAUGGAAAGGAAACACUUACUAGGGUCAAUUGCAGACCGUGGAAGGUUCACCAAAAUGAGGAGGAGAAGGAAGAAAACAAGAUUGAAGAGGAAGUUUAUCCUGAUACUGAGCCAUUCCAUUGUUGCAGAGUUGUAAAAGGCAACACGAGAAUAAUUAUCAAUGAGAUCUAAAUUCUUUUUUAAAAAACGAUCCUCCUGAUUGAAGCAGCGAAUUGUUGCAGCCCCAGCAACAGAUUCUGACAAGUGAUGGAGGAUUGGAGCUUUCUGAAUGCCAACCAUCCUUGCUAGUUCUCUAGCUGUACUAAUGU